Molecule: ribosomal RNA, 253 nt
Filed under: uncultured bacterium
Lineage: Bacteria
Description: partial 16S ribosomal RNA
Rfam family: Bacterial small subunit ribosomal RNA
Source: RNAcentral
UACGUAGGUGGCGAGCGUUAUCCGGAAUUACUGGGCGUAAAGGGCGUGUAGGCGGUACUGUAAGUCAGAUGUGAAAUCUCCCGGCUCAACCGGGGGGGUGCAUCGGAUACUGCAGGACUUGAGUGAGAGAGAGGAGAGUGGAAUUCCUUGUGUAGCGGUGAAAUGCGUAGAGAUUAGGAGGAACACCAGUGGCGAAGGCGGCUUUCUGGCUCGCAACUGACGCUGAGGCGCGAAAGCGUGGGGAGCAAACAGG